Molecule: ribosomal RNA, 516 nt
Filed under: uncultured bacterium
Lineage: Bacteria
Description: bacterial SSU rRNA
Rfam family: Bacterial small subunit ribosomal RNA
Source: RNAcentral
AAUCAACGCUGGCGGCGUGCCUCAGACAUGCAAGUCGAACGCGAAAGUCCCCUUCGGGGGACAAGUAGAGUGGCGCACGGGUGAGUAACACGUAGGUAAUCUACCUUCGGAUGGGGAAUAACAACCGGAAACGGUUGCUAAUACCGCAUAAUGCAGCGGCACCUAAUGGUGACAGUUGUUAAAGCGGGGGAUCGAAAGACCCCGCGUCUGAAGAGGAGCCUGCGGCGGAUUAGCUAGNGGUAAGGUAAUGGCUUACCAAGGCGACGAUCCGUAGCCGGCCUGAGAGGGCGGUCGGCCACACUGACACUGACAUACGGGUCAGACUCCUACGGGAGGCAGCAGUCGGGAAUUUUGGGCAAUGGGCGAAAGCCUGACCCAGCAACGCCGCGUGAAGGAUGAAAUCCCUCGGGAUGUAAACUUCGCAAGAACGGGAAGAAUAAGUAGGGGACAACACCCCCUAUGAUGACGGUACCGUUUGUAAGCUCCGGCUAACUCCGUGCCAGCAGCCGCUGUAAC